GACAGAGGAUGCAAGCGUUGUCCGGAAUUAUUGGGCGUAAAGAGCUCGUAGGCGGUUUGUUGCGUCGGCUGUGAAAUCCCGAGGCUCAACCUCGGGUCUGCAGUCGAUACGAGCAAACUAGAGUGUUGCAGGGGAGACUGGAAUUCCUGGUGUAGCGGUGAAAUGCGCAGAUAUCAGGAGGAACACCGGUGGCGAAGGCGGGUCUCUGGGCAACAACUGACGCUGAGGAGCGAAAAGCGUGGGGAGCGAACAGG
This 254-nucleotide ribosomal RNA is filed under the name uncultured bacterium. RNAcentral's name for it is "partial 16S ribosomal RNA". It matches the Rfam family "Bacterial small subunit ribosomal RNA", at positions 524 to 776 of the family's 1533-position model. The record is from RNAcentral.